This 169-nucleotide unclassified non-coding RNA is filed under the name Plectosphaerella plurivora. RNAcentral's name for it is "partial internal transcribed spacer 2". RNAcentral also lists the same sequence under 4 other names. Lineage: Eukaryota; Fungi; Ascomycota; Sordariomycetes; Glomerellales; Plectosphaerellaceae. The record is from RNAcentral.
CAACCCUCGAGCCCCUGUGGCCCGGCGUUGGGGAUCUGCCACGGCAGGCCCCUAAAACCAGUGGCGGACCCGAAGGGCCCUCUCCUUUGCGCAGUAGCAUUCGCCUCGCAUCGGGAGUCCUCGGCGUCCUGCCUCUAAACCCCCCACAAGUCCGCUUCGGCGGCACCAA